UUCCAUAAGCAUGAUGAUUGGGUGUUCAUGCUAUUGUGUGAGAUGUGCCUCCCUCGACAUCAUCAACAUCAGCACAUUACCUGUCUGAC
RNAcentral lists this small nucleolar RNA (89 nucleotides) under Marmota monax (woodchuck). It matches the Rfam family "Small nucleolar RNA U13", at positions 13 to 104 of the family's 104-position model. The record is from RNAcentral. Lineage: Eukaryota; Metazoa; Chordata; Mammalia; Rodentia; Sciuridae.